UCUGCCCCUAGAGGCUUUGCAAGUGUGGCUGCUGUGUCACAUGGGCGUCAGUAGGUGGCAGAGAGAAGAGGCUAUGUCUAUGCUCAGUGUUCUGACAUUUAGACGUCUGAAUGACAUCAGGGCUCUAACA
Molecule: small nucleolar RNA, 130 nt
Organism: Mastomys coucha (southern multimammate mouse)
Lineage: Eukaryota; Metazoa; Chordata; Mammalia; Rodentia; Muridae
Product: small nucleolar RNA SNORA17
Exons: 1
Source: RefSeq, a predicted model, not a curated record